Molecule: ribosomal RNA, 433 nt
Filed under: uncultured Oscillospiraceae bacterium
Lineage: Bacteria; Bacillati; Bacillota; Clostridia; Eubacteriales; Oscillospiraceae
Description: partial 16S ribosomal RNA
Rfam family: Bacterial small subunit ribosomal RNA
Source: RNAcentral
ACGGAAGGCAGCAGUGGGGAAUAUUGGGCAAUGGGGGAAACCCUGACCCAGCAACGCCGCGUGAAGGAAGAAGGCCUUCGGGUUGUAAACUUCUUUUACCAGGGACGAUAAUGACGGUACCUGGAGAAAAAGCAACGGCUAACUACGUGCCAGCAGCCGCGGUAAUACGUAGGUUGCAAGCGUUGUCCGGAUUUACUGGGUGUAAAGGGCGUGUAGGCGGAGCUGCAAGUCAGAUGUGAAAUCCCGGGGCUCAACCCCGGAACUGCAUUUGAAACUGUAGCCCUUGAGUAUCGGAGAGGCAAGCGGAAUUCCUAGUGUAGCGGUGUAAUGCGUAGAUAUUAGGAGGAACACCAGUGGCGAAGGCGGCUUGCUGGACGACAACUGACGCUGAGGCGCGAAAGCGUGGGGAGCAAACAGGAUUAGAUACCCUGGU